This 209-nucleotide long non-coding RNA is filed under the name Elaeis guineensis (African oil palm). RNAcentral describes it as "long non-coding RNA (EGUI_LNC008528)". The record is from RNAcentral. Lineage: Eukaryota; Viridiplantae; Streptophyta; Magnoliopsida; Arecales; Arecaceae.
UCCCAUUUCUAAUAAAAAUUACUUUCCAAACUUGUAGAGGUAAAUUCAAAUUCAAAAAGCCAAUCAUUUAGGAAAGUUGUUUAUGAGAAGAGGCCUCUAUAGUUGCAAUCCAAACUUGGUCCACAACAUGCAACUGGUGAGAAGAAUGCAAGUUAGUCAAACAAACUCAAUGUCUUCACUAGAAGAGAGCCAAGUCGAUGACCCCCUUG